UACAGAGGGUGCGAGCGUUGUCCGGAAUCACUGGGCGUAAAGGGCGCGUAGGUGGCGACCCAAGUCGAUGGUGAAAGCUCGCCGCUCAACGGCGAGUCGGCCACCGAUACUGGGUUGCUCGAGCACUGGUAGAGGCUCAUGGAAAUUCCGGGUGUAGCGGUGGAAUGCGUAGAGAUCCGGAAGAACACCGGUGGCGAAGGCGGUGAGCUGGGCAGUUGCUGACACUGAGGCGCGGACAGCGGUGGGGAGCAAACAGG
Molecule: ribosomal RNA, 257 nt
Filed under: uncultured bacterium
Lineage: Bacteria
Description: partial 16S ribosomal RNA
Rfam family: Bacterial small subunit ribosomal RNA
Source: RNAcentral